GGCGAACGGGUGAGUAACACGUGGGUAAUCUGCCCUGCACUCUGGGAUAAGCCUGGGAAGCUGGGUCUAAUACUGGAUAUGACCUUUCUCCUUAUGGGGUUUGGUGGAAAGUUUUUCGGUGUAGGAUGAGCCCGCGGCCUAUCAGCUUGUUGGUGGGGUGAUGGCCUACCAAGGCGACGACGGGUAGCCGGCCUGAGAGGGUGAUCGGCCACAUUGGGACUGAGAUACGGCCCAG
RNAcentral lists this ribosomal RNA (235 nucleotides) under uncultured Actinomycetales bacterium. RNAcentral's name for it is "partial 16S ribosomal RNA". It matches the Rfam family "Bacterial small subunit ribosomal RNA", at positions 97 to 334 of the family's 1533-position model. Lineage: Bacteria; Bacillati; Actinomycetota; Actinomycetes; Actinomycetales. The record is from RNAcentral.